CCCAGGGCACGUCUCCGACGAGCAUGAGGUCGCCGUCCUUGUCCUCGUAGGCGAGGGCGUGCUGGUGGUCGCCGCCGCCCUCCGCGGCGGCGAAGGACUUGGUGAAGAGGGCGUCCAGCGCCUCCCUAAGCUCCCUAUACCCCUUGUACAUCCGGAGGUCCACCUUCCUGAGGUACGGCGCCCCGUCCAUGCUCACUUUCACAUACAGGCCCCCUCCCUGCUGCUGCUGCUCGGCCUUCUUCACCGCCGCGGCCUGGAAGGUGUUCUUCCUGUACGCCCUCACCGGCGGCCACCCCACCACUUGCGCUCUGGCGAAGCCAAAAAAAAAAGGUGAAAAGUUUGGUUAGCUGAUGUACUCUGUUUUCCGGAUGCAGGGGAUGUGGGAUUGUGGUUGGGUGUUGCUCUUACUUGGCAGGUGCGGCGGCGUCGUGGUCGUCGCCGGUGGCGGCCGGGCUGGUGCCGGAGUCCUCGCUCCUGGUGUCGUCGAGCGCGCGCUUAGCGCCGACGGAGGGUGAUGCCUUCUUCGGCCUGUCGUCGCCGCUGCUGGUUCCGGGAAGGCCGAGGCGGAGCUCGGUGGCGCUGAGGUUGUCGGCGUCGAUCUCCAUGGGAGUGAAGAAGAGAAGGUGCCGGCUGGUGUUUCUUGGCAGAGGAAGAGAGAGAGAGAGAGAGAGAGAGAGAGAGAAAGGUAUGAACAGGUAGCGACUGGAGAGAGAGAGGGGGGGGAAGACGAUGAGGAUUGAGGAGAAAGUUUGCGUGGAACGAAGGUGAGACAGGAGGAUUGCGCCCGCUUUGUGCGUGGCUAUAUAGGGUGGGUGGCGAUGAGGCCUUCC
RNAcentral lists this long non-coding RNA (830 nucleotides) under Setaria viridis. RNAcentral describes it as "long non-coding RNA (SVIR_LNC001286)". Lineage: Eukaryota; Viridiplantae; Streptophyta; Magnoliopsida; Poales; Poaceae. The record is from RNAcentral.